CUGCAUCUGAUCCCUUCUGCAUCUCAGCACUGAAUGCAUGUUGCAUGCCCCGCUUUUAAUGCCAGGCUUAAGUUUAUCUUUGGCGCUUCUGCCGUCCCGGCUUUAGAUUUAGUCGAUCGCCAGUCGGUCACCCGCGUCGUGUCUCCUAGCGGAAGGACAGUGUACCAGGACAAGCAGAGAAAAACCUUCCUCCUGGACAGUUGGACAUCUAAGAGUGAGAGCGAAUGGUCCCUCGCCUCCAGAUGGGAUGGAUCCCAAAUCUGGAUCCCAAAUUUGAGGGAGGAGGCUGUUGCCAUCAAGGUGGUUGGCAGCUCAGGGAAGCUCUACACUUGCUAUGCCUCCUGCCACUUCUGCACAUGCCCGGCUUUUACCUUCUCCGUCCUCCGGAAAGGCGACAGCUUAGUGUGCAAACAUAUUCUGGCCGUCUACCUCAGCCGGGCCCUCGGAGCCUGCCAGGAGCUGACUGUACCAGAUGAGCAGCUGACCAAACUUUUGCUGCCCCAGGAAGAUGGGAGGGAGGAGGCGGAGGAUAACACCCGGCCGUAAUUUCGUCAGAGAGGGAGAGAAAACACGGAAGGACUUGCUGUCGUCUUUACGAAAUCUCCCGAAAGGAAGCGCAGAAAAACACUGUGGUUUUUAAAACAGUGAGCGGUAAAUUGGAAAGCGAGGACAGAAGUCUCCGACGGAAAGCGACCGCCAAAGUCUCCGCCGCAAGGACAAUGCAGAAAACCCAACACCUAACGCCAACCCUGACAGGUGGGACCCGGCCCGGCCCCAAUGUGGCUGCUUUUCCACGAUGCAAGAGGUGGGUGAACCGAGGCUAAGAGAAAGUGGAAAAGACCCCCAUGGGUUCAGAUCCAAUCCGUCUGCAGUUUCCCCCCCACAAAUGCGUGCCUCCAUCUGGUCCAACCCUAUCUGAUCCCAAGUUUUGCCAUCUUCGGGAACCAUGCCAGCCAAAGGAGCUCCCCAAACAGCUGCUCCAAAGCUCCAUGACACACAAUCAGCUCAGAGAAAAAGGGGAUUUGAAAUUGCAGAAUCCAAAGGCCAUCCCUUUUGUCUUUGGACUGAAGCAGAGGGGAAAGCAAACAUCUCCUCCCUCGCCUUGUGAAAUGCAGGAAACUACAACUUGUAGAGAGAUUUCAAACUCUGGGUUAGUCCCAAAUGAUUUCAAACUAGCCCCACCGUUCGGACUGAGCUCUUCAGAUACCCGCCUUUGGCUUAAACCCAAAACCCACAGACUAGAUCCACUGGCCAUCUAUAUUUCCAUUGGUCGCUGUGUGCCUUCAUGUCUAAGGGUUUUCUUGGCAAGGUUUGUUCAGAGGCGGUUUGCCGUUGCCUUCCUCUGGGGCUGAGAGAGUGUGUCCCCAGAGUCAUUAUUACAUAAAUCCAAUUAAUGCAACAGGUCUACCGUUUGUUCCCUUCCAUCAAUGCCACCAGAUCUGGUCCUCCAGAUGUUUCGGAUAGCAACCCAAGGGGUGCCAACCAACACAUCUGGAAGGGGCCACAUUUGGAGAGUAGGCAGAAAAGACGGUUUAGAUCUGGAAGGUGGAAAAGUUGGUUUGGAUCCAAACCAACCCUCAGAAAGGAAUAGUCCUGGCAGAGCAAGCCAGCUUUAGGUCGCUUGAGCCAGUGAGCCAAGCUGCGUUGUAGCCGUUCCCCUCCUUUGCCAGCCCCGCUCCCCACCCCACGCGUCCCACCGCGGUCGACCGUACCUAAGCGGGAUCUUGAUGGCCACGUACCGGUCGACGGCCACCGCCAGGAGGCUGAAGAUGGAUCCCUGGGUGAGGACCAGGACGAAGCAGGCCAGGAAGAGGCAGCAGUGGAAGUCGGUCUUCAGGCCGAUGCUGAUGACGAUGGCGAAGGGGAUGGCCAGCAGGCCCACAGCGAUGUCGGCCACGGCCAGCGAGACCAAGAAGUAGUUGGUGGCGUUCUUCAAGGUGCUGUUGAUGGCCACCGCCCAGCACACCAAGACGUUGCCCACGAUGGAGAGCACUGCGAUCACCAGCUCCACGGCGAUGUACACAGAGUCCAUGCUGUGCGGCGCCGUCAUGUCGACGGGGAGAGCGUCCGCCUCCAACGACAUCCGAGAAGGACCCGCGGCGAAGGGGCUGAGGAGCCACCCAUGAGGCAGGGUCACCUCGGGGCAGUCGCUUACGACAGCCUUGCUCCGCCAAAGGAGACCCCGCGCCAUCGCAACGCCAACUGAGGCGCGUCUCCGGCCAUCGCCGAAUUCGUCCUUCUUCGAUAUUUUGUUUAAAAAUUCAAAACUUUAGAUUGAAAAUUUCAACAAAAUUGCAGUUUCAGGCUGAAAAUUGCAGGUUGAAAAUUUCGAAAAGUUGCAAUUUCAGACUGAAAAUUUCAAAAAGUUGAAAAUUUCGCAAAAAUUGAAAAUUCAAAGUUAGGUUUUGUUCAUUUAAAAAAAACCUUUUGAAACUGCUUCUUUUAAUGCCUCCUUUUCGGCGCCGCUCUCCCAGUCGGCCCAGUUUGAGACCCCAUUUUGAGACUGGGUUGCAAUGGUUUUUCGGGGAGCCUAGAUGCAGCUGGGAAACCGUCCCAAAAUAUCAGUUUCUUUUACCCAGAAAGGCAAAAAGGAUCCAGAACUUGGCUGCGAGUUCGAGUCUCUCCCCUAUAUAUAUAUAUAUAUAUCCAAAAACUUGCAAUUAAUUAAUUAAUUAAAUUAAUUAAAUUAAGGCUGCUAUAAAAGCCCAAAAGAUAAAAAUAAACUUCCCUUCUCUCUCUCUUUUCCUCUCUGGAACGGUCUCCUCUUCUGCAUUAAUUGCAUUAACUUCUGC
RNA transcript from Sceloporus undulatus (fence lizard), 2792 nucleotides. It is a transcript of the gene named zinc finger SWIM-type containing 7, with no coding region annotated. NCBI's taxonomy places the organism in Eukaryota, Metazoa, Chordata, Lepidosauria, Squamata, Phrynosomatidae. The record is from RefSeq and is a predicted model, not a curated record. The transcript is spliced from 7 exons.